Molecule: ribosomal RNA, 1381 nt
Filed under: uncultured bacterium
Lineage: Bacteria
Description: bacterial SSU rRNA
Rfam family: Bacterial small subunit ribosomal RNA
Source: RNAcentral
GCUCAGAUUGAACGCUGGCGGCAGGCCUAACACAUGCAAGUCGAACGGUAGCACAGAGAGCUUGCUCUCGGGUGACGAGUGGCGGACGGGUGAGUAAUGUCUGGGAAACUGCCCGAUGGAGGGGGAUAACUACUGGAAACGGUAGCUAAUACCGCAUAACGUCUUCGGACCAAAGUGGGGGACCUUCGGGCCUCACACCAUCGGAUGUGCCCAGAUGGGAUUAGCUAGUAGGUGGGGUAAUGGCUCACCUAGGCGACGAUCCCUAGCUGGUCUGAGAGGAUGACCAGCCACACUGGAACUGAGACACGGUCCAGACUCCUACGGGAGGCAGCAGUGGGGAAUAUUGCACAAUGGGCGCAAGCCUGAUGCAGCCAUGCCGCGUGUAUGAAGAAGGCCUUCGGGUUGUAAAGUACUUUCAGCGGGGAGGAAGGCGAUAAGGUUAAUAACCUUGUCGAUUGACGUUACCCGCAGAAGAAGCACCGGCUAACUCCGUGCCAGCAGCCGCGGUAAUACGGAGGGUGCAAGCGUUAAUCGGAAUUACUGGGGCGUAAAGCGCACGCAGGCGGUCUGUCAAGUCGGAUGUGAAAUCCCCGGGCUUAACCUGGGAACUGCAUUCGAAACUGGCAGGCUAGAGUCUUGUAGAGGGGGGUAGAAUUCCAGGUGUAGCGGUGAAAUGCGUAGAGAUCUGGAGGAAUACCGGUGGCGAAGGCGGCCCCCUGGACAAAGACUGACGCUCAGGUGCGAAAGCGUGGGGGAGCAAACAGGAUUAGAUACCCUGGUAGUCCACGCCGUAAACGAUGUCGACUUGGAGGUUGUGCCCUUGAGGCGUGGCUUCCGGAGCUAACGCGUUAAGUCGACCGCCUGGGGAGUACGGCCGCAAGGUUAAAACUCAAAUGAAUUGACGGGGGCCCGCACAGGCGGUGGAGCAUGUGGUUUAAUUCGAUGCAACGCGAAGAACCUUACCUACUCUUGACAUCCAGAGAACUUAGCAGAGAUGCUUUGGUGCCUUCGGGAACUCUGAGACAGGUGCUGCAUGGCUGUCGUCAGCUCGUGUUGUGAAAUGUUGGGUUAAGUCCCGCAACGAGCGCAACCCUUAUCCUUUGUUGCCAGCGGUCUGGCCGGGAACUCAAAGGAGACUGCCAGUGAUAAACUGGAGGAAGGUGGGGAUGACGUCAAGUCAUCAUGGCCCUUACGAGUAGGGCUACACACGUGCUACAAUGGCGCAUACAAAGAGAAGCGACCUCGCGAGAGCAAGCGGACCUCAUAAAGUGCGUCGUAGUCCGGAUUGGAGUCUGCAACUCGACUCCAUGAAGUCGGAAUCGCUAGUAAUCGUAGAUCAGAAUGCUACGGUGAAUACGUUCCCGGGCCUUGUACACACCGC